Non-coding RNA from Triticum aestivum (bread wheat), 135 nucleotides. Lineage: Eukaryota; Viridiplantae; Streptophyta; Magnoliopsida; Poales; Poaceae. The record is from Rfam.
GUAAUACUCCCUCCGUCCCAAAAUUCUUGUCUUAAAUUUGUCUAGAUAUGGAUGUAUCUAACACUAAAACUUAACUAGAUACAUCCAUAUUUAGACAUAUCUAAGACAAGAAUUUUGGGACAAAGGGAGUAGGAA